UACGUAGGGGGCAAGCGUUGUCCGGAAUCAUUGGGCGUAAAGAGCGUGUAGGCGGCUCGAUUAGUCCGCUGUAAAAGUCCAGGGCUCAACCCUGGGAUGCCGGUGGAAACUGUCGGGCUAGAGUCCGGGAGAGGCGAGUGGAAUUCCUGGUGUAGCGGUGAAAUGCGCAGAUAUCAGGAGGAACACCAAUGGCGAAGGCAGCUCGCUGGAACGGUACUGACGCUGAGACGCGAAAGCGUGGGGAGCAAACAGG
RNAcentral lists this ribosomal RNA (253 nucleotides) under uncultured bacterium. RNAcentral's name for it is "partial 16S ribosomal RNA". It matches the Rfam family "Bacterial small subunit ribosomal RNA", at positions 524 to 776 of the family's 1533-position model. The record is from RNAcentral.